Molecule: ribosomal RNA, 253 nt
Filed under: uncultured bacterium
Lineage: Bacteria
Description: partial 16S ribosomal RNA
Rfam family: Bacterial small subunit ribosomal RNA
Source: RNAcentral
UACAGAGGGUGCGAGCGUUAAUCGGAAUUACUGGGCGUAAAGCGUGCGUAGGUGGUUUGAUAAGUCGGAUGUGAAAGCCCUGGGCUUAACCUGGGAACGGCAUACGAAACUGUUGAACUCGAGUCGUGUAGAGGGAAGUGGAAUUUCCGGUGUAGCGGUGAAAUGCGUAGAUAUCGGAAAGAACACCAGUGGCGAAGGCGGCUUCCUGGGCACAGACUGACACUGAGGCACGAAAGCGUGGGGAGCAAACAGG